This 496-nucleotide ribosomal RNA is filed under the name uncultured bacterium. RNAcentral describes it as "partial 16S ribosomal RNA". It matches the Rfam family "Bacterial small subunit ribosomal RNA", at positions 30 to 523 of the family's 1533-position model. The record is from RNAcentral.
UUGAACGCUGGCGGCAGGCCUAACACAUGCAAGUCGAGCGCGAAAGGUUUUCGGACUGAGUAAAGCGGCGGACGGGUGAGUAACGCGUGGGAAUCUGCCCAGUAGUGGGGGACAACAGUCGGAAACGACUGCUACUACCGCAUACGCCCUACGGGGGAACGGGGGGGAUCUUGGGACCUCUCGCUCUUGGAUGAGCACGCGUCGGAUUAGCUAGUUGGUAGGGUAAAGGCCUACCAAGGCUACGGUCCGUAACUGGUCUGAGAGGAUGAUCAGUCACACUGGAACUGAGACACGGUCCAGACUCCUAUGGGAGGCAGCAGUGGGGAAUAUUGGACAAUGGGGGCAACCCUGAUCCAGCCAUGCCGCGUGUGUGAAGAAGGCCUUAGGGUUGUAAAGCACUCUCAGUGGGGAGAAAGUUUUGUCACCUAAUACGUGAUGAAAUUGAUGUUACCCACAGAAGAAGCACCGGCUAACUCCGUGCCAGCAGCCGCCGUAA